Molecule: long non-coding RNA, 991 nt
Organism: Humulus lupulus (European hop)
Lineage: Eukaryota; Viridiplantae; Streptophyta; Magnoliopsida; Rosales; Cannabaceae
Exons: 3
Source: RefSeq, a predicted model, not a curated record
UGAAAUUUUGAAAACAAGAUUUUCUCACUGUUAAAAUUUUUUAAAAAUUUAUUUCCAAUUAUUCUUUCUCUUUUUUCUUCCCGUAGCCACAACCAAGAUUUCUCAAGCAUCCAUGGUGGCUUCUGAGCUCUCUUCAACCUUUCUUUAGGGUAUUGGAGGCAUUGAAGGACAUAGGACAGAAAUUGACUAUUGAUCGUGAUUGGGGGAUCUAGCUAGGCAGCUGUUAACAAGUCUGUUAAAAGAUUUAGAAAGAAAAAUUGUAAGUUUUAUGAGAAAUUAUGCACUAUCUUUGGUGAUACUACUGCAACUAGUUCCAAUGCUCAUCUUUCAACUCGAAGUCCUUCUAUUGAUGGAGAUAAUGAUGAUGAUGAUGAUGCAACGUCGAUAAGUCUUACUAGGAAUGAAGAAAGUGGUUUUGAUGAGGAUGGUAGCAAAAGAAGAGGUAAAUCAACAACCACUUCAAACUCUCUCGAUCAAUAAAAUGAACAAAAUUCUUAUCAGCUUUGGCAAAUGCACUGGCGACAUAUAAUGAAACUGCAAAGUGAAAGACAGAAUUAAUAGAGAGAUUAAUGGCAACAUCUGUAUCACAUUACUUAUUGGAUGAGAGUGUUGAAGCUCCUCAUCAAAUUGAUGGAAUUAGUGGAGAAGUAUAUGCAAAAGCUAUUGAGAAGUUUGAGAACAAAGUGUCCAGAGCACUGUUUCUAAAGAUGCCAAAGCAUAGAAGAAUAGAUUGGUUGCUGAAUUUCAAGUGAAAAGUUUUGACUUUGUUUAGCUAUGAACUAGAAGACUCUGUUAGCUAUUAACUUUAGUUUUGUUUAGCUAUUGACUGGAUGAGUUUGUUUAGCUAUUGACUGGAUGACUUUGUUUAGAUAUUGACUAGAUGGCUUGUGUUAGCUUAUUUUUGUUUUAUGAUUUGAGUUGCAUUUUGUAAGUGUGCAAAUUUAAUUAAAUGUUUAGAUAUUUAAAUGGUUUGAGUCAGAGAUGACUUUGA